This 422-nucleotide ribosomal RNA is filed under the name uncultured bacterium. Its description in RNAcentral is "bacterial SSU rRNA". It matches the Rfam family "Bacterial small subunit ribosomal RNA", at positions 355 to 774 of the family's 1533-position model. The record is from RNAcentral.
UGAGGAAUAUUGGGCAAUGCCCGCAAGGGUGACCCAGCAACGCCGCGUGGAGGAUGAAUGUCGUAAGAUUGUAAACUCCUGUUAGAGGGGAAGAAUAGUACCGGUUGGACCGGUAUAUGACUGUACCCUCAGAGAAAGCCCCGGCUAACUACGUGCCAGCAGCCGCGGUAAUACGUAGGGGGCAAGCGUUGUCCGGAUUUACUGGGUGUAAAGGGUGCUCAGGCGGAUUUGUAAGUAAGAGGUGAAAUCUUACAGCUUAACUGUGAAACUGCCUUUGAUACUGCAAGCCUAGAGUAUUGUAGAGAGUGAUAGAAUAUCUGGUGUAGCAGUGAAAUGCGUAGAUAUCAGAUAGAACACCAAUGGCGAAGGCAGUCACGUGGUCCAUUACUGACGCUAAAGCACGAAAGCGUUGGUAGCAAACA